CCAACGGCUCUUUUAAGAGCCACCCAAGUCACAGGAAAACGGCA
Non-coding RNA from Myotis davidii, 44 nucleotides. The record is from Rfam. Lineage: Eukaryota; Metazoa; Chordata; Mammalia; Chiroptera; Vespertilionidae.